RNAcentral lists this unclassified non-coding RNA (253 nucleotides) under uncultured Planctomycetales bacterium. Its description in RNAcentral is "contains 16S-23S intergenic spacer region". It matches the Rfam family "Bacterial small subunit ribosomal RNA", at positions 524 to 776 of the family's 1533-position model. Lineage: Bacteria; Pseudomonadati; Planctomycetota; Planctomycetia; Planctomycetales. The record is from RNAcentral.
UACGAACUGUGCGAACGUUAUUCGGAAUCACUGGGCUGAAAGGGUGCGUAGGCGGCCGACUAAGUCAGGUGUGAAAGCCCCCGGCUCAACCGGGGAAUUGCGCUUGAAACUGGACGGCUUGAGUGAGGUAGGGGCGUGCGGAAGUUCCGGUGGAGCGGUGAAAUGUGUUGAGAUCGGAAGGAACGCCGGUGGCGAAAGCGGCACGCUGGGCCUUAACUGACGCUGAGGCACGAAAGCCAGGGGAGCGAACGGG